RNAcentral lists this ribosomal RNA (392 nucleotides) under uncultured Gammaproteobacteria bacterium. RNAcentral describes it as "bacterial SSU rRNA". It matches the Rfam family "Bacterial small subunit ribosomal RNA", at positions 370 to 779 of the family's 1533-position model. The record is from RNAcentral. Lineage: Bacteria; Pseudomonadati; Pseudomonadota; Gammaproteobacteria.
AAUGGGCGCAAGCCUGAUCUAGCCAUGCCGCGUGAGUGAUGAAGGCCUUAGGGUCGUAAAGCUCUUUCGCCAGGGAUGAUAAUGACAGUACCUGGUAAAGAAACCCCGGCUAACUCCGUGCCAGCAGCCGCGGUAAUACGGAGGGGGUUAGCGUUGUUCGGAAUUACUGGGCGUAAAGCGUACGUAGGCGGAUUAGAAAGUUGGGGGUGAAAUCCCGGGGCUCAACCCCGGAACUGCCUCCAAAACUACUAGUCUAGAGUUCGAGAGAGGUGAGUGGAACUCCGAGUGUAGAGGUGAAGUUCGUAGAUAUUCGGAAGAACACCAGUGGCGAAGGCGGCUCACUGGCUCGAUACUGACGCUGAGGUACGAAAGUGUGGGGAGCAAACAGGAUU